Molecule: long non-coding RNA, 2731 nt
Organism: Equus quagga
Lineage: Eukaryota; Metazoa; Chordata; Mammalia; Perissodactyla; Equidae
Exons: 3
Source: RefSeq, a predicted model, not a curated record
GGACCCUGGGCGGCGGGGCCGGGGCCUCCGAGGCGCCGCGACGGGCGGAGCUGCGCGGGGCCAGCGGGGGCACCGCAGGCUGGGAGGGACCCCGCCACGCCGGCCCUGUCCGUGUGGACGCGCCCGCACAGAACCCGGUGUCCGGGACCCCGACUCCCGCGGAGGAGGCGGGAGAGCGCGGGGGACGCGGCGGCAGGAGCGGGAGGGGCGAGGGACCGGGAGCAGCGCGGGCCGAGGAGCUUCCUUUCCGGGGCCCCGCACCUUCCUCUGCGACAGCGGGGCGCGAGGGCGACACCGCACACGGUUUGAGGAGUAAAAAGUGGCGUUCAUCCUGAAGGGACGGGCAAGGUCCCACCGAGAUUUGAACUCGGAUCGCUGGAUUCAGAGUCCAGAGUGCUCACCAUUACACCAUGGAACCCCCGCGGGAGCCGCGCCUUCCGCGCUCGCCAGAGCGGGCGGGUGAGUCCUCCCCGGGCGCCCGCGGCUCCCGCGCACACUCCCAAGGCUUCCCUUCCCGGGACAGUGGAGCUGCGUGCGUGGCCGUCCGCCUCGCUUUCUCUCUGCGCCCCCCUCCUUUGAUUGACUUCUCCUCACUUCACUCGCACCUCGGAAAAGGAGGUGAGAUCCACUCUUGGGCUUCGGGCCCGGGAAGAGGAGCCCUUGACGCCUCCCUCCUAAGCCGCCUAUUCCGCCUCAGUUUACCAGAGUCUCCUGUCCUGAGGUGACAUUUCUGCAAACAGUAGCCUUGCUUUCCUCUUCGUUGCCUUCUCACUUUUCCCAUGGCCCAGAGAGGGCAGACGGUUGUCAGGGCGGGACUUGGGACUUCCUGGGUCCCUUGGCCGCGCAGCACCCAGCACGUCCCAAAGCCGCCACCGCCUCCUCCACGUCAUAUAUACGACGGUGUGUCCGCAGUGGAGCGGGGUGGGGAGGCGGGGGAGCUUUCCUUUUCUUCUUCAUGCACCUCUGGGGGAUUUGUUGUGGUCGUUGUAAUUCUUUCUUACAACAAACGCAUAGUUGUUACAUUCACGAUACAGAGUUAUCAACCGUGUUUAACGUUUAUAUCAAACACUCAGACCAACCAGACCAUACUCGCCUGCGGUGACUCAAAAUCAACCGCCCACCGUGGAGGCCACGAGGCAGGGCCCUGACAAUUAUACAGCCACAGACUCUCUUCUGAGAGCUUGGCCAAGUCAAUUCCAUCCCACCUUCUCAAUAUAUCACGACCCGGAAACUGCACGGAUUUAAAACAUGUACACUAUCAGGGCACCCAAGAGCGCUUCAUCGCUGGGUCGUAGGGGAUGUGGACCCAAGUUGCCUUCACAGUGUAUGCAGCUUUUAUGUACUCAAAAUACCACCACACUACAUAUUUACACGGGUAAUAGAUAUAAGUUCAUAUUAUACGCCAAAACCACAAUCUGUGUAUUUCAUCUUCCCCUUUAUUUCUUCACUGUGUCCCAAAGCCGUCUCUCCCCUGAUCCAAUAGACGGAACAGAAAAACUAGCAUCAACCGGAGCGAAAAGAAAGCGGCUGACUAAAGAACAGAGUCCGAGAGACGCCCAGCGUCGCUGGAAGAGGUAGUUUGUCCCAAGAGACUAGGUGAGGGUUGAAUGAAGGAGGAAGGAGGCAAAGGGGCUGCUCUGGUUCUGGGGAGGAAGUUGUCCUCCUCAGAGUGUGAGGGGACGCCGACGCGUCCUCCUGGAAAACCAAGACGUCGAGCGGUAACAAACACCACAGAGCACUCCUCCAGCAGGACGGGAAGAUCAGCCAAGGUCUAUGACUGCAAGGAACAGAAACGGACUCCGGCCGACUUAAGAAGGAAAGGAAUCUGUUUGAAAGGACGCUGGGAGAUCACACAGAAGGAAAGGCCGGGAAACCCGGAGAACCGAGCACCGGGCUCUGACGAGGGGCAGGGAGAGAAUCAAACGACGUUAGAACCACGACGGGCGGAGAGACUGUCCUUGAGGGGCGAAUGCACGUUGGGGCUGAGAGCCCGAGGCCAGCGGUGGGGCUGUGGCGGUCGUGGCUGGCGGCAGCUGGAGUGAGGGCGGCCGGUGAACCGAACUCGCCUGGGAAUGUGACUCCUCCCCCUCCCCUUCCCGCUCCUCCUCUGCCUCUCCGCGCUCCCUCCUUCGCCCGUUCUGUUCCUCCUCCCGUUCUACUGCUCCAGCCCUCUCUCCUCGGCUCUCCGUCUUCCUGGCUCUCUCUCCCCUCGUCCCCUUUCCCCGGCCUUCUGGUCCUCCCGCAUCUCCUUCUUCCUUCGCGAUCGCCCCUCCGCGCUGCUCCUCCCCUCGCCCGGAAUGAACGCCGCCAGAACUUCGCGAUGGGUUUCCGCAGUUGUGAGGAAGCACCACUUACAUCUGACCACCCAAGUUUGCGGAAAUGUGAUUCGGCUGGAAUCCUUCCCUGCUACUAACUCCAGGAAGAAAAAGGCGCUGGGUUCUCGGGCGGGACCACCUCGCCCCCUCGUGGCCACCUCGGGAACGGCGCACAGGGAUCCGCACAGACGCAGAAGCUGCAGGGACCGGGGAUGCGAGACAAGGAAACCUGGUCCACUCUCUGACAGAUGACCUUCUCUGCACUUGGGCACCUCACGAAGGAUCCUCUCUAUGUCAGUUCUAAGGUACCGCCAGGAAGAGACAACUCGCUCCAGGACUGGGACUUUGGACGUGGCUUACAUCAUCACACAUCACUGUCCUGCAGAGUGCUGGGCCUUGUUGGUGGGGCUUCUGCA